UACGUAGGGUGCGAGCGUUGUCCGGAAUUAUUGGGCGUAAAGAGCUUGUCGGCGGUUUGUCGCGUCUGCCGUGAAAAUCCGGGGCUCAACCCCGGACUUGCGGUGGGUACGGGCAGACUAGAGUGUGGUAGGGGAGACUGGAAUUCCUGGUGUAGCGGUGAAAUGCGCAGAUAUCAGGAGGAACACCGAUGGCGAAGGCAGGUCUCUGGGCCACUACUGACGCUGAGAAGCGAAAGCGUGGGGAGCGAACAGG
This 253-nucleotide ribosomal RNA is filed under the name uncultured bacterium. Its description in RNAcentral is "partial 16S ribosomal RNA". It matches the Rfam family "Bacterial small subunit ribosomal RNA", at positions 524 to 776 of the family's 1533-position model. The record is from RNAcentral.